ACAAUGGCUGUCACUGACAUUUA
Molecule: non-coding RNA, 23 nt
Filed under: Arabidopsis thaliana (thale cress)
Lineage: Eukaryota; Viridiplantae; Streptophyta; Magnoliopsida; Brassicales; Brassicaceae
Source: RNAcentral